This 278-nucleotide long non-coding RNA is filed under the name Mytilus galloprovincialis (Mediterranean mussel). Lineage: Eukaryota; Metazoa; Mollusca; Bivalvia; Mytilida; Mytilidae. The record is from RNAcentral.
UAUGUUGCCAUGAUUACUGUUUUGUAAAUAUGCUUUAUGAACUGUGAUUGUAUAUAUGUUGGAUGCAAAAAUAAAGUAUGUGAACGUUCAUGUAUCCAGCCUCGUGUAUUGAUUUACAAUAACUUUCCAGUACGGAACCUCUAUCAUCUCAGUAAAACGGGCCUAAAUUGUUUGGAUUGUAAAAUACUGUUAUUCAUUUCCGACGGACUAUAGAGUUAACAAAAACGAAACACACCAACAAAACAACCACAUGUAUAAUCGACAAUUCAAAUUACGAC